Long non-coding RNA from Helianthus annuus (common sunflower), 321 nucleotides. RefSeq lists it as uncharacterized. The transcript is spliced from 4 exons. The record is from RefSeq and is a predicted model, not a curated record. NCBI's taxonomy places the organism in Eukaryota, Viridiplantae, Streptophyta, Magnoliopsida, Asterales, Asteraceae.
UCGAUCUAGAAACACAGGGGCGACCAACUCACCCACAAACCCUAGUCUUGCAAUUUUCACCAAAUUGAGGGCUCCAAUCUAGUCUAAAUCGAUUUCCAAGCACGAAUUCGUGAUCACCUCGUUGAAGGGAUCAUAAGGCAAGGAAAUCCGGAUCGUCAAGUGGACAAGCCGGUGGAAACACGCAUUGGAAAGGAGCGCUUUAAAGGAAAUAACAUAUGUUGCGUUGCUCUAAUUAGAGAAUUUAAAGCAAGAGGUAUGUAAACGGGUCAAUGCUAUGACCCGAGCCAGGUGAAUGUCGAGAGCCCCGGAUGAAGAUCAAGU